Molecule: non-coding RNA, 7537 nt
Organism: Heterocephalus glaber (naked mole-rat)
Lineage: Eukaryota; Metazoa; Chordata; Mammalia; Rodentia; Bathyergidae
Source: RefSeq, a predicted model, not a curated record
CCUUGAUUUAGGAGGCUUCUGCUCUCCUUGAGGGAAAGUCUCUGCAGAUUCCGGGGCCUGUGGAGAGGAGGGCCAGAGGGAGCGCAGUUGUUUUGACUGCAUUUUUCCUGGCCCGAUUAAAUCUCAGUGGCACUGGAGCUUCCUGUUACUGAGAGAACACAGCGCUGUGCUUGGGGCUGCAGCAGGGCAAAGGCGGGGCACAGCUGGCAUGGCUGCGGGGCUGCGGGGCUCGGGGCAGGAGGACGCACCAUGCAGCUGGGACCGCGCCGGCAGGGCGCUGAGGACCUGCAGCGGGGCGGCCUGCGGGCGCUGCAGCUGAUGCUGGAAGCGUGCUGCGGGUCCCGGAUGCUCUACCAGAAAUGACCACAUGAACACAUGGCUAGGAACCACCCAGAGACUUGAAAGAGACACCAUGACAUGAGGAUCCCUGGAGUUUAAGCUCCUGACGAAGCUACUCCUGGGCCCCCUACCACGAGCCUGGCCCCACCUUACUCCUCGCUGUGCAGUUCAAACUGUAAGAAAAAAUAAAUACGUAGGAUGAAUGAUCUGAAUUAUUGACCCGCCAUAAAUUGCUUCUGGCCUCAAAGACGUGGAACACAUGUAUAUGUACGGCAUAUUGCCUGCUGACAAGGCCCCCAAGAGGCAGCAGGCCAGGGGUUCUCCCCUCUGCCUGGUUUCAGGACACAGGCCCCCUUGGGGACCACGGGCACACGCUCUUCUUCUGAGCUGCGGGGUUUUAUCCUCACUCUGGCUCAUCCCGCACGCGGCUGCUACAAGGACCAGUGGCCAUGGGACCACCGCAGCGUUGGGAAUUUGGAGAGCCCACCGCUACCUUAACCACACAGCAGUCUUCCCCAGCGCGCUAACACGGCCCCGUGCAGACCUCAGAGCCAGGCCUGCCACCGAGGACCGAUGGACACAUUUCCCACCAAUAAGCAAGGUCUCACCAGCCGGGUCGGUUUGGAGUCCCAGAGCCAUCUGCGUGUUUACUUCUGAGCAGAAGUUUGCUUCUGAGACUGAGAGGGUCUCGAAGUCUCAGGUGGUUGGCAAAUACAACCUUGCAGACCCUCCGCAGGAGUGGUUAGGGUGAUGGCGCCAUCUCUCUAGGAUGAGACGGGGGUCUCUGGCCUCACCCGCCUCUUCUGGAAGAGCUGGUACAACUGAUCUGGUCCAGUACAGGAGGUCACGAUUGAAGCCAACGUUUCCACGUGUGGAGAGCUGGCCUUUGAUUCUCAAUUUGCUAUUUCUGCUGCUCCCUUUCAUCAUUCCGUCACAGCAAUGUAUGUUUUCAAAAGGCAGGGUCCUCUGUAUUAUUUAAUGCCUACAUGUGGCUUGGACCUUGCCUGUUCUCGGGUGAUCUGUAAGGAGAAACAGCAAGUUUAUUAGAUUUCUUUGGCAAGUCUGCACAUUUUUAAUAUUUUCAGCCACCUUUUAAGGCUCUUGGUGCCUAUUGUAAAGGACAGCCUGUUUGCAUUUGCGCCAGUGCGUUUGAAUUUCAUGCAUCCUAUCUUUCGCAACAGUAUCUUCUUAGGUUGACACAGAGUCACGAUAUUGCAGAAAGCAAAUCUUUCGUUCUUGGGUUUUCAAAUUGUUCCUCCUUGAUGUGGGAAGGAAACAAUGUAAUAGUUUUUACUUCUUACUUUUACAUACAAUAUUUUUGAACCUGACUAGGGAAUGUUUUCAUCCUCCUUCAAAGGGAUUUUCUUUGGCACCGAGCUUGCCUGUCUGAAAUCAGCCUGGCCCGCCCCUCCCCAGUUAGAUAAUCUAUUCCCAAAGCAGCUUUGGCUUGCCAUCAACACCUGGCUCCCUGGGCAUCGGGAAGGUGUCUGAAGGUCUAGGGCGGCGGCUCACUGCUGUGAUGCUCUGCUCAGAAAAGGGGUGGCCAUGUUUCGUGUGGAUGGGAUCUCUGCGUGGGGCUGAGGCCACUGCUCUGCUGUGGCCUUGGAAAUGAUUUGACCGACUAGGGAUGUGGUGCCCUCAAAAUGUCCUGCUCACGGAUCUUUUCAAAACCCACCGUUUCAGAGACAGGGCUCACCCAUGCCAGAAACCGGCUAUGCACAUUUUUGAAGAAUUUAUAGAAUCUUCUCAAAUGUGUUCUAUUUUUUGAUUCUCAAUACUUCAGGAGGCGAGCACUGCAGUCUUCAUUGGUAAAUAAGGAUUUCAUGCAGUGGCUCAGGGAGCUGGCAGCCCUGUCCUCUGGGGAUCCCAGCAGCUGCCCUGGAGAUGUGUCAGCUAUGGAAGCGACCAUUUGUUCAGAACAGUCAUUUCAGUGACUCACUUGGAAGGAAAGGGCCAGCAGCAUGCAAAGUGAAGCAUCCUAAGUUCUAUUUCCAACUUUCACAUUUAACCCAGGUAUGGCAUUUUCGGCUUUCUCUGCCCCAGCUUUCCCAUUAAUUAAAUGCACCUUCAUUCAUUCAUCUGAUACAUAAUCAAUGGAUACUUCUGUGUGCCAGGCAGCGUACUUGGUUCUAGAGAUAGGAUGGUGAACAAAAACAAGUACAACAGGGCCGGGGAUUUAGCUCAGUGGUUUCGCCACCUGCUGCACAAGCGCAAGGACCCGAGUUCGAUCCCCAGUACCAAAAAAGAAACAAGUACAAUUGCAUUUUCUCAGGGAGGCUUCAUUCAGUGGAGAUUUGAUCAUCACUAGUCACUCGACAUUGUAAAUAUCAUAAUUGUGCAAACUGAAGGUGAAACUACAGGUCGAUACUUUAAAGAUAAGGAGACUCCUGGCCUAAGAGGCAACACAGGGGUGUUACUUUUUCUGAGAGGCCAAGGAAGGCUUCCUGAGGAAGCAGCACUGAGCAGGGAGCUUGGCAGAGGAGAUAGGAGGCGAGAGGUCAGGGAUAACAUUAUGGAUCCACCCAGAGCUGUGCAGCAGAUGGCAAAAGGCGCUGAGCUUGUUAGGCCCUAACAUCAUGUGUCCUCACUCAAUAAGUGUCAGACGUUUAAAUCGCUCACCAGGAUGUGGACCUGCUACCUGACCACUGGACCUGGGAAAGCCAGUGGCCUAUUUUGGCAGACACCCCACCCAGCCUCCCAGGGAAAUUUCCUUUCUCCGGGGGAUGAGCUCAUCGCCAUGCCAGAUGGGUUUCCAGUGACUGAUUAUUGUGCAAUCUGAUUAUUUUCAUGUCAUGCUAAUUCCCUCUGAAAGAUGGACACAGGAUAUAGGAUCUAUCUCCUUAUCAUCUCUAAAAGCUAGGGGACCGUCCCCAGUUAGGCCACGUACCCUGCAGACUGAGAGAACGCACACCACUUAAAACCGUGGCAAUUCUGGCACCAUGGUCCACUAAUAGUAGCCUAUUAUUGUGCACAUUAAUCAGUUGUAUCAUAGGGUACAUCAACUAAAGUGACUUCAGACUCUAUAACAGACUUGGAACUCAGCGACUUAACACAAUGGACAUUUUGUACUGAUUCGAAGUUGAACACGCUCUGGUUGGCAGACAGCUUAUGGUGGCACUCAGUGCCGUGCUGUGACUCCUGCAGAUGCCCAUGUCCUCUUCACUCAGCUCCAAAGGAGGACAGAGAACACAGGAGCCUCAGUGAAAGACUCUUACGGGUCAGGCCUCGAAGGCUUCAUCCCUCCUAUGCCCAUCUCAUAGGCCAGAACUCUGACUCAGGGCUGCACCUGACUGCCAAGUCCAGAUGGGUAAGCGGCCAUCCACUUACCCAGAGCCAUGUACCUGGGCCAAGGCAGUGUCCUACAGAGGCAGUGAAGUAGUCAGAGUGACCCCCUUUUCUCUGCAGGGGAGACAGCCCAGGAUACCCAGGGACAUCUGAAACCUCAGAGAAUACUGAACCCUAUAUAUGCUAGGGUUUUUCUUAUCCAUGCAAACCUAUGAUAAAUUUUAAUUUGUAAAUUAGACACAGCAAGAGAUUAACAAGUAACAAUAAAAUACAACAAUCCUAAUAAAUGUUAUGUGAAUGUAGUCUCUCUCUCAACAGAUAGUACGUGAGACCUCUUCUCUGGCGUAUCUAAAUUGCCAGCAUCUCCCUUGCACUUCAGGACAUUAUUAAGGAAGCUAGGGCUGCUUGAACACAAGUACAGGCACACACCAACAGUGACUUGUGGGCAGGCAGGGUGUGCAGCAUGGACACGCUGGGCAGAAAGAUUGUUCAUAUGGAAUGGUGGGAGGUUUUGUCAUGCUGCCUAGAACAGCGUACAACUUAAAACUGAUUAAUUGCUUAUUUCCAGUAUCUUCCAUUUAAUAUUUUUGGACCAUGGUUGACUGCAGGUAACUUAAACCCAAGAGAAGCAAAACUACAAAUAAAGGUAGCCUAAUGUAAGUCCCAACUCCUAGGUGAUAAUUCGAAGACAGAUUACCUGUGGAGUCCAAAUCUUCUCAUCUGUAAAAUGGAAAUGCUAACACCGCUGAUUGUGUUAUCCUUAGGACUGAAUGAGGUGUUUACAUAAAGUACUUAGACCAAGACUGAUAAAUGAUAUGUGCUUAUCCAUGGUAAGCCAUUAUUAUCAAUUUAUUCAUUUGCUACAAAGCAAAAGCAAAUUAGGGCCGGGGAUGUAGCUCAGUGGCUCCGCGCCUGCCUGGCAAGUGCAAGGUCCUGAGUUUGAUCCCAGUACGGAAAAAAAAGUAAAAGCAAAUUGAAAGAUGGUUCCUUCACAUUAUCUCAUCUAAGAAGUAAGCGAGGAUAUAAAACAACAUUCUUUAAUUCCAAAACCAAACAAACCUCAGUCCCCAAAAUCAGUACGGAUUAUCAUCGUAGCUAUGGUGAUCUGCCUUUAACUUUCCAGAGGAAAUUUAGGGGAGAUUUUGAUCAACAAUUACACCAGGAAAUAGGCCCAGCCAAAGCUUCUAGCAGGGAUUUCGUCGUCUCGGGAGCAGGUCAUUCCCCAGAGGAUGACGGUCACAAGUUGACCGUUCCUAGAAGCCCAGAGCGCUCUGCACUCUGCCCCCCCCCCCCCGGACUGGGCCAAACCUUCUGUGCUUCCUCCUCCUCCUUGGCACAGACGGGAGCGCAGGCCAGCCGGGCACGUCCCAGGCAGGGAGCGCUUGCUAACACUCAGCCCUGGGGCACACUGUGGCGACACCGUGUCCAGAGCGCUGCUCCAGGAGCAGCGUGGAGGUGCCAGCGCUCGCUGUGUGCCGGGCAGGAAUCGAGGGCGUGUGGAAGUCAGCAUGGCCCUCCUUCCAGCUUCUUCGUUGUGUUUAGUUCACCCGCCAUGCUCACAAAGGCUGGGAUAAGCCCUUGAAUAGUUAGCUCAGCUGUUGUGACAUAACCUGGUCAUUGCCUGAAAUGAACUUCUUGAAGUUCUCAGGGAUAUUCAGCCUCUCAAGCAGUGAUUUCAAAUCUUCAAAAAUAAAAUGAAACACAGCUGUUGAACACGGAUCGGCACUGUCUGAUUCCCGCUGAUGGGGAGGAGACUUUGACUGGGAAGGGGCUUCCACAUCCGGAAGUGCGCACUGCUCAGAGCCCCACCAGUGCUGUCCAACAAAACAUGCGCACUCAAGCCACUUCUGAGAAUGAGCUGCCUAGAGUGCUGGGUGCUGUGUGAUCUCAGACCAGUGUAAUCGCUCCCUUCCAUCAAGGCUGCUGGUACAGACCAACGGUGUGUAGUUCUGACCACGCAUUUUACCUGCAUGCGAAUUCUCCCAGUGAUCCAGUGCCCACGCUACUCUGAUUGAGGACUCCAUUUCCCCGGGAAGGAAGCAGAGGUUGGUCACAUGGCCAAGGGCGUCCAGCAUACUGGAGCCUGGUCUUGCUGGCUGGCUCUGGUCACUGUAGCCAGCACAGGCCAUGCUGAUCAUCUGUCAUCGGGAGGGCUUCCUUUCUCCCACAGCCACUGGAGGAAAGACUGCCUCAGUCCUGGGAGCGUCUGGCUCCUGCACUGGUGUGCUGAGGAGUCCUUAAGGGUGGAUGGACACUGGGUUUUGCCCUCUGCCUUUGUCUACCGCUGCAGGUUCUUCCUGCAGUGUGGUCUGAAGGAAGGAAACAGAGCUUUUCCAGCCGUCAGUCCGUGAGUCUCGCAGGCGCCGCUUUGGCCAAGGUUAGAGAUUCUUGGUAUCAGAAGGUGACACUCACUGUGUACUUGAUACACGUGGCCUGCACGCGUCCAUGCAAUCCUCAAGGGCAUGGAGGGGGGAGAGACCUUACCGUCCAGUUUUGUACUCGAGGAGACGGAGCCCCUGAGAACUUUGAAUCACAGGGCCUGGACCACACAGCGAAGCAGCAAAACAGGAUUGAAAGCCAGUCCAUUUGACUCCCGAGGUCACGUCCGAGGCCUGAGGUCAUUUGGAAGGGUGGGUGUGAGAAAUCGCCCUUCCAUGGGCCCUCACGCCAUCUCCUCCAGCCUCCAACUCUCCUGGCUGACCUGUAUUUCCACGGCCACACUCAUUAUAGCUUCAAGCAUCCCCGCCUUGCUGCUUUCUUGUUUCAGUCAACCACAGGAGUUUCUUGAUUGGGCCAGCGGUGGUGUGCUGGCUGCGGAUAGGAUACCAGAGCUCUGUGGCUGAAUCUGUGUUAGCUAUGUGGGUGCUGUCUGUUCACUUUGCUUCGGUUCCCUCCGCUGCAAAACAAGGAUAAUAACUUCGAAUUUUUAUAGUAAUGAGUGAGACAUUGUGCACACUGCUCUUCGCACUGUGCUGAUAGACAAUACAGUCCAUAAGAGGCAGCGCGGCUGUGACUAACAUUGUCAAUUUGUACUCAGUCCACCAAUGUUGAUUGAAUUACAGCCCAGCCUGUGUCCUAAUCCUGAGAGAGCAAUGCAAAAGAUCGCUAGGUUGUUUGCUACAGCUUUCAAUAUAGCUGGGUAAAUUAAUCAGCUAAGUAGGAAAAAAUAACUUGUAACACAUAGCAGUAGCUCACAGGCCAAGGGAAAAGUGUGGACAGUAAGGACGGGUGGGUUUCAGAGGAAGAAGCAGCCAGCACUGAGAGCGAGUUUCCGAGAGGAAGUUGGAGAAUAGACAAGAUGGAGGGCAGGGUGGGUUUCCGAACAGCAAAACGGUGCAGGCCAAGGGAAAGUGUGGAAAACCGGGGCUGUGUUCCCAGUCACAGUACAGCAUCAGCUUCUGAGGCAGACUGGGGAAGAGCAGGAGUAGGAGAAGUGGUGGGGAGCCGAAAGCACAGGGGCACCCAAAGGAAGGGAUGGCCGCGGCUCGAAGGUGCUGGGGCGCAGUGUGCCCGGCCGAGAAUGAACACUGCAGGCCAGAAAGGAGGCUGAGACUCCCGAAGGGGUGUGUCUGAGCGUUGAACCAUCAGUUUUGAGACAGGCGUCACACUACCUUCCCGCGCCCCUCUGUGGGGAAGAGGCCUGGCCCUGGCUCACUCUCACCGUGGUGGCCCUGUGGUCAGCGUCCUACCUCCUUUCAGGACUUCCUGAGCUGGUGACAGGACCAGAAGGUCCAGAGGUACCAGGUGGGGGUGUCGGGCUGGCAGGAGAGUCAGACCUGAAUGGGGAGCUCACCGUGAAUCUCGGUUUUUGGAAAUCGCUUGUGCUUUCUGCCCCUCCCGGGCCUUUGUGAAGGGCCAACAGUUGAGAGUUGCUAGCGUGUCUUACUUACUUUUCUGUCAUUGAGACAAAAUA